AGUUUUCUGCCUUGUGCGAGUGCACAGCUUUUAUAAUCCAACACUUGAUAAAAGGAAGUCCUGCUCUUUUUGCGGAUUGCAGACCUCCCGCCGCCACCGCUUUUGCCGUGUGCGAUACGGAUGCUGGGAGCGAGAAACAUAAAGGGGGACGUUAUCCACCCUGCUAAAGGCGGGUUUUAUUCACUGUGUAUCGGCAAGGCGGAGUAAUU
RNAcentral lists this non-coding RNA (209 nucleotides) under Oscillospiraceae bacterium. Its description in RNAcentral is "6S RNA". It matches the Rfam family "6S / SsrS RNA". Rfam says of the family: E. coli 6S RNA was the first non coding RNA to be sequenced, but its function was unknown until recently. Lineage: Bacteria; Bacillati; Bacillota; Clostridia; Eubacteriales; Oscillospiraceae. The record is from RNAcentral.